GAAAGCGACGGCUAACUAUGUGCCAGCAGCCGCGGUAAUACAUAGGUCGCAAGCGUUAUCCGGAAUUAUUGGGCGUAAAGAGUUCGUAGGUGGUCUUGUCAGUCUGAAGUUAAAGCCCGGGGCUCAACCCCGGCCCGCUUUGGAUACUGCAAGACUAGAGUAUUAGAGAGGUUAGUGGAACUCCAUGUGAAGCGGUGGAAUGCGUAGAUAUUUGGAAGAACACCAAUGGCGAAGGCAACUAACUGGCUAAUAACUGACACUGAGGAACGAAAGCGUGGGUAGCAAACAGGAUUAGAUACCCUGGUAGUCCACGCUGUAAACGAUGAUCACUAGAUGGUAGAGGAUUUACUGGCACAGCUAACGCAUUAAGUGAUCCGCCUGAGUAGUAUGCUCGCAAGAGUGAAACUCAAAGGAAUUGACG
RNAcentral lists this ribosomal RNA (421 nucleotides) under uncultured Mycoplasma sp. Its description in RNAcentral is "bacterial SSU rRNA". It matches the Rfam family "Bacterial small subunit ribosomal RNA", at positions 486 to 915 of the family's 1533-position model. Lineage: Bacteria; Bacillati; Mycoplasmatota; Mollicutes; Mycoplasmatales; Mycoplasmataceae. The record is from RNAcentral.